UCCCUCCUAUAGCUGCGCAGAGCUGCCUCCAUCUGUCCCAUCUCCACCUGUGCAUUCCCAAUGCAGCUGUGGAGGGUCCCAAUCAGUUCACUCUUGUUGGGAAGUUCAUUCUCUGCCCGCCCUUGUAUCUUUUUCAGGAGACGCUCAGCUUUCCUGCAGCUUUCCUCAGCAGAGCCUCUGGCCAGCACUGGGGACAGGGAGCAGAGUUUGACACUGGGGUGUGACACAGAGAUGCUGAGAUGUUGUGAAUUCCCCAUCCCUGGGAGUGUUCCAGGCCAGGCUGGACGGGGCUUGGAGCAACCUGGGCUAGUGGAAGGUGUCCCUGCUUAUGGAAGGGGGUGGAGCUGGAUGAGAUUUAUGGUCCCUUCCAACCCAAACCAUCCUGGGAUUCUGCGGUACUGGGGAAGGGAGACCUAGUGCAGCGGUAACCCUCAGGCAAAGGUUGGGAAUGGUUAGAGCUCCCCACAGCAGUGGGAGGCACUCAGCUUCCAGCCAGGAACCUACUCAGCUCAAUAUCCUCCAUGUCCUUGGCGAUGGCUCUGGCAACUUCAGCCGGUUUCCGUUUCCUGUCCCCGAUCCCCCUCUGCUGCAGGAGCCGGCGCUCGUACAGCCGGGCGUAGAUCGGCUUCUGCUGCUGCCAGAAGUCCCGGCGCUGGUUCAGGUAGGAGAUGCCAUCCAAAACCAGGUCUUCGACUUUCCCCCCCUGCCUCAGGUUGAUCUGCAUCAAGUCUGGAAAUCAGAUAAGGUAGAAUCCGGGUGAGUAUCAAUGGACCUGAGCUGCAGUGAAGUGGGAAUUGCUUGGGAAUGUUCUUCUGGUCUGACAGAGACAGUCCUGGAAACUAAAUUGUCCUGUGCUCCUCAGAGCUGAGGUAAUGGGGGAGUUACCAGCAUUUAGAACAAACCCACAGAGGAGUCACAGCCCCGUGAGCAGCGCUCGGCACUGAGUGUGUCAGCGGGUUUGUCGUUGUGACAGAAGUUCAGUCACUUGCAAUGAAGCUGUUUCUCUUUCUCAUUUCAUCAGCACAGGUUGCUCUGAGUUGAUUUAUCGAUGGGGAAGGAAAUAAGCCCAUAGUUAUAAAUGUUGGACCUGGCUCCAAACCUGCCCGUGUCCAGCACCACGUGCUCUGGUACGAGUCAGGAAGAGUCACAGGGACAAAAACGAAGAAGAGAAAUAAAAAAAGGAUAAGAGGAAAAGAAAAACAGAACCUGCUUGGAAGGAACAUUUAGGUAAACACAAUGGAGAAACACCUUCAUCCUUGAGCAACUUCUCCAGGAAGGUCUUGUCAUCGUAAAGCUGUCCCAGAAGCUCUCGUUCUGUUUUUGGAUUCUUCACACGCUGCUUCUUUUUUGUCCCUUUUUGAUCCUUUGUUGGUAUGUUUUGCAGUUUCUGGUUGUUUUUUCUGCUCUAUGGUGAGAAAAAAAGCAAAGGAAGUUGGGGGAGAUCAGUGGGGAACACUGGAAUGAUCAGAAGUCUGUCAUGCUCCAUAUAAGGCAGCUUAUUUUUUAAUUAAAAGGAAAAAGUCAGUGUCUCACCAGCUGCUUUGGUCAUGAGCAAGUGAAAUUCUGCAGCCAGUCGUGCUCCCUAAGGACCAAGAGGGUGUUACAGGAAAAGCAAGAACUAGUUCUGGCCUCUUGGAGGAACAAGACCCUACUGCCAUGGAGCACCCCGAAGUGAAGCAAUUGAGAAAGUGUCCAUUAUCAAACCUGUGACCUUAAACAUCAGGUAAACCCAAAGUCAAUACUGGAGCUCAUGGCACCCUGCUGACCUCAGGGCUGUUACUCAUUAGCCUCAGAUGGGCGACCAGUAACACCCCCAGGAAGGGGCUGGGGAGGAAUUCCACACUGGGCUUUGUUUCUCCCCAUGGCUCUUCCCUGCCCUUCUGCAUUCUCCUCUAAGUUCUGGGUGGUUUGAGCCAGACCUGCACUAGAAGCAGGUGAUAAACACUCAUGAUGGGUCAGUCUGUUUCAGCAGACCUGCUGUACAGGACCUGUGUCCCUGCAGGGACUGUCUCCCUUCCCGUGCCCAUUUCAGGCAGUUUUAGCAUUGCAACCACUCUAGAAGCUUCUCCAGCAAGAGCUCUGUGCUGUACCUCUGCCUGCCUGCUCACGAAGCCCAGCUCCUCCUUGUUCUCCAGCUUCACCGAGGCUGGAUCUGCAGACACAGAGGAAACCCCUGUUAGUGCCCACAACAGCCAUGCGGGCUCUUGUCAGUAAAAUGCCCAUAAAGGUGCCAAGCCCAAAAUGUUCAGUUUGAACCGAAGAUGUUCUAAUUCUUUCCCAUGGAACAGGAGGUGUUGGUGUGUCCUGGGUGCAGGGAACGCAGCUCAUCCACCAGCUCCUCUCGGGAUUUUAAUUCCUAUUUUACACAGCACCGAGGGCUCUCAUUGCAGCAUUCCUACAGACAGGCUACAUCCUGCAUGGAAACUGGGGAAGGAGAAGGAUGCAGGUUCUUCUGGGGAAUCACAGCUGGAGUGUAAAAUGGCAGGAAAGCUCCGAGCACAGGGAGCUCCUGCAAUCCAGAGAAUUAUUCUAAAGCCCAGGGGCUCGAGGGAAGUUAGAGACCUUGCCUUGAGCCCAGGAAGAUUCCAGCUGGGAGCUGUGGCAAUACCUGAUCAUUGUGCUAAGCUCAGGAAGCAGCAGGAAUGGAGGAAAACAAGCCAGAGGUGAAAACUUUCCCUGUUUUUUUUAAAUAACAAUUCCAUAUGAAAGUGCCACAGGCUCUGGCACCACUGGCACGACCCGCUGGUGAUCUGAGCCAGAAGUGAUGAAAGCAGAGCUCAUUGCAAGAGUCAACAGUUUCACUGCUCUUGUGCAAUGGAAAUUGGAGGAGAGUCAGGAUUUUGGGAGGCCAGUCUCAGGCAGAAGGGAGAACCCAGGGGUGUCACGACCUGAGUGCAACAAACCCCAGUCCUGGAGCUGACUGAGCACCUCCACUGCUUCAAGAGCAGCAGAAACCUCAGGAGUGUUUGGUGUGAGCUGUUCCCUCCCAGCUCUGCCUCAGACCCUGCAGGGUCUCACAGACCCAGGUCAGCCCUGGCUCCCCUGCUCUCACCACUUCCUCUGGUUACCUCGGUGAACGCUUUGUCUCUUUGGAGCGAGGCUUCAGCAUCCUUCAAGGAGUUUUCUGUGUCCCCAAGUUUCAGGAAGCAUUUGGAGCGGGUGAUAAGGCACUGCUUGUCCCCUGCCCUCAGCUUCAGUGCCUGGAACCGCAGACACGGACACGUCACCAGUGCUGGCUCAACACCACAAAUACACAAGUGCAGGUAUUUGGUGCCACCUGCACAGUCCCCACAUGGAUCUUGAUGACAGAUGAUGAUAAAACCGCAGGAUUUUUAUUGAAAAGAGCCUUCCCUUGCAGUUCACAGCUUCCCUGUACUGUAGGGGCUGCCCUGCCUGGGUCACCCCCUGGUGCCGAGACCUCCUGGGGACACGUCCCUCCGAGCCACCUCCCCUCGCCGCGGGUGCCACGUUCCGUCCGCUGCCUCUUCCCCCUCCUGAAUCGAGUCGUGGCC
Long non-coding RNA from Chiroxiphia lanceolata (lance-tailed manakin), 3512 nucleotides. RefSeq lists it as uncharacterized. Lineage: Eukaryota; Metazoa; Chordata; Aves; Passeriformes; Pipridae. The record is from RefSeq and is a predicted model, not a curated record. The transcript is spliced from 4 exons.